GAUGAAGAACCUAGCGAAAUGCGAUAAGUAAUGUGAAUUGCAGAAUUCAGUGAAUCAUCGAAUCUUUGAACGCACAUUGCGCCCCCUGGUAUUCCGGGGGGCAUGCCUGUCCGAGCGUCAUUACAACCCUCAAGCUCAGCUUGGUGUUGGGCCCCGCCGCCCCGGCGGGCCCUAAAGUCAGUGGCGGUGCCGUCCGGCUCCGAGCGUAGUAAUUCUUCUCGCUCUGGAGGUCCGGUCGUGUGCUCGCCAGCAACCCCCAAUUUUUUUCAGGUUGACCUCGGAUCAGGUAGGGAUACCCGCUGAACUUAAGCAUAUCAAUAAGCGGAGGA
RNAcentral lists this unclassified non-coding RNA (329 nucleotides) under soil metagenome. Its description in RNAcentral is "partial contains 5.8S ribosomal RNA, internal transcribed spacer 2, and large subunit ribosomal RNA". The stretch from base 1 to 120 matches the Rfam family "5.8S ribosomal RNA", at positions 35 to 154 of the family's 154-position model. The record is from RNAcentral.